RNAcentral lists this ribosomal RNA (403 nucleotides) under bacterium. Its description in RNAcentral is "partial 16S ribosomal RNA". It matches the Rfam family "Bacterial small subunit ribosomal RNA", at positions 355 to 776 of the family's 1533-position model. The record is from RNAcentral.
UGGGGAAUAUUGCACAAUGGGGGAAACCCUGAUGCAGCGACGCCGCGUGAACGAAGAAGGUAUUCGUAUCGUAAAGUUCUGUCCUAUGGGAAGAUAAUGACAGUACCAUAGAAGAAAGCUCCGGCUAAAUACGUGCCAGCAGCCGCGGUAAUACGUAUGGAGCGAGCGUUGUCCGGAAUUAUUGGGCGUAAAGGGUACGCAGGUGGUUUAAUAAGUCGAAUGUUAAAGAUCGGGGCUCAACCCCGUAAAGCAUUGGAAACUGAUAAACUCGAGUAGUGGAGAGGAAAGUGGAAUUCAUAGUGUAGUGGUGAAAUACGUAGAUAUUAGGAGGAAUACCAGUAGCGAAGGCGACUUUCUGGACACAAACUGACGCUGAGGUACGAAAGCGUGGGGAGCAAACAGG